GAAGCAGGUUACUUUGAGGGUGUGCUUCUCUGCAAAGAUGAUGAGGUAGCAGCAUUUGUGGAAGACAUCCAAAAGAGGACCAAGCAUGUGCCAGGAAAGGGGGUUUGUGGCAGGUCUCAGAUGAAUGCAGCCAAAGAGACGUGUAAGAGGAGUAGCUCCAGCCUUGAUGAGCAGGGUAUAGAAGUAGCUGUGUGCCGACAUGGGAUUAUUCUUCGUGCUCUGAAUAUGUUCAGG
Long non-coding RNA from Platichthys flesus (European flounder), 234 nucleotides. RefSeq lists it as uncharacterized. The record is from RefSeq and is a predicted model, not a curated record. NCBI's taxonomy places the organism in Eukaryota, Metazoa, Chordata, Actinopteri, Pleuronectiformes, Pleuronectidae. The transcript is spliced from 3 exons.